ACACAUAGGCCCCACCCAAUAGACCUGUGGUUGACGGAAGGGGUGGAUAACCAGGAUCAAUAACAAGACUCGGGACGUAUGUACGUGAUUGCGUGAUCGCUCCUACCCAGUGGUCUUUGAAGUCAUUCAUGAUCAGAGCUGGUCCGAAAGUGCGUGCGGGAUUGAUGCCACAGCCCGUGUAGCUGAUCUGGAAUCAGCAACAACAUCAACAACAUAGGUAAAAGAUUUUUCAUCUAUCCACACCCUGGACAAGUCGCCACCUCAUUGCAGGGCCAACACAGGUGCAUGUCUUUGGCGGUGGGAGGAAGCCGGAGUACCCGGAGGAAACCCACGCAGUCACUGGGAGAACAUGCAAACUCUACAGAGAAAGAUCCCGAGCCCGGGAUUGAACUCUGGAAUACUCAGGACCUUCGUAUUGUGAGGCACAUGCACUAACCCCUGUUCCAUCAUGCUGCCCAGCAGAUAACAUAACUUAAAAUAUCUUAUAACUAUUAAUAA
Long non-coding RNA from Nerophis ophidion (straightnose pipefish), 498 nucleotides. RefSeq lists it as uncharacterized. The record is from RefSeq and is a predicted model, not a curated record. NCBI's taxonomy places the organism in Eukaryota, Metazoa, Chordata, Actinopteri, Syngnathiformes, Syngnathidae. The transcript has 3 exons.